GAAAUUUGAAUUGAGAUCAGUUUUGGAAAAAGAGAAAAGGGGGAUGUGAAAAAAAAUGGGGGGGGGGGUUAAAUUUUUCUCAUUCAGAUUUCAUAAAUAAAAAAAAUUUCUUCAAACAUUUUUUUGAGAGGAUUAAUAUUCAACAGCAUAGUGAAUUGCUCAAAGGAAAAAAAAGUAUUUUAAGUUCAUUAGACACAUCAUUCUGUGUCAGAAACCUAUGCUGUGUCAACUAUUUAAUCACAAUCUAAAUUUAGAGCUGAAUCCAGCUUGAAUGUUGUGUCCAUACUUGCCC
Molecule: long non-coding RNA, 292 nt
Filed under: Mytilus galloprovincialis (Mediterranean mussel)
Lineage: Eukaryota; Metazoa; Mollusca; Bivalvia; Mytilida; Mytilidae
Source: RNAcentral